This 497-nucleotide ribosomal RNA is filed under the name uncultured bacterium. RNAcentral's name for it is "partial 16S ribosomal RNA". It matches the Rfam family "Bacterial small subunit ribosomal RNA", at positions 28 to 507 of the family's 1533-position model. The record is from RNAcentral.
GAUGAACGCUGGCGGCGUGCCUAAUACAUGCAAGUCGAGCGAACGGACGAGAAGCUUGCUUCUCUGAUGUUAGCGGCGGACGGGUGAGUAACACGUGGAUAACCUACCUAUAAGACUGGGAUAACUUCGGGAAACCGGAGCUAAUACCGGAUAAUAUUUUGAACCGCAUGGUUCAAAAGUGAAAGACGGUGUUGCUGUCACUUAUAGAUGGAUCCGCGCUGCAUUAGCUAGUUGGUAAGGUAACGGCUUACCAAGGCAACGAUGCAUAGCCGACCUGAGAGGGUGAUCGGCCACACUGGAACUGAGACACGGUCCAGACUCCUACGGGAGGCAGCAGUAGGGAAUCUUCCGCAAUGGGCGAAAGCCUGACGGGGCAACGCCGCGUGAGUGAUGAAGGUCUUCGGAUCGUAAAACUCUGUUAUUAGGGAAGAACAUAUGUGUAAGUAACUGUGCACAUCUUGACGGUACCUAAUCAGAAAGCCACGGCUAACUACGUG